GGGGGUGUAGCUCAGUGGUGAAGCACAUGCUUAGCAGGAGUGAGGGCCUGGGUUUAGUUCCUAGCACCACCU
This 72-nucleotide transfer RNA is filed under the name Urocitellus parryii (Arctic ground squirrel). Its description in RNAcentral is "Spermophilus parryii (Arctic ground squirrel) tRNA". It matches the Rfam family "tRNA". From Rfam's summary of the family: Transfer RNA (tRNA) molecules are approximately 80 nucleotides in length. Their secondary structure includes four short double-helical elements and three loops (D, anti-codon, and T loops). Lineage: Eukaryota; Metazoa; Chordata; Mammalia; Rodentia; Sciuridae. RNAcentral also lists the same sequence under 1 other name. The record is from Rfam by way of RNAcentral.